GAGGGCGCAGCCACCCCGCAGCCAUCCCAGCAGGUACCCUAAGGGUGGGCACAGGGGGGGGGUCCCUGGAGAGGGACGGUGCCCUGGGGGGGAUGCUGAGCACAGCCCCCCCCCGUGUGCCCCAGGCUGCUGCAGGCUCUGCCCCAAUGAGUCCCAGGGAGCUGGGGAGGACGCCGGACCCCGAGGACGUCGCCGUGGGCAUCUGCUGGGCCAUAGCCACCGGCCUCCGAGCCCUGCUGGGCGCCAGGGCCGGGCAGCUCCUCCAGCACAGCGCCGAGCGGGCGCUGGGCGCGACCCAGGAGUGGCUGCACCGCCACCUGCCCGCAGGUAAGACCCCCCCCCAGGACACCGCUGGGGGCUGGGGGUGUCCCUGUGGCACCGCAGCCUCCAGCUCUCCCCCCUCUGUGCCCCCCCCUCACCCUGCAGACCGGGCUGCGGCGGGGCCGGGGGUGGCCAUGGCCGAGGGUCGGGGGCUCGGUGGUCUCCGCUCCCCCCGUGCCUGCGUGGUGCUGCGGAGGCAGCAGGAGGACGCCUGGCACCACCUCACCCGGCUCCAGCACAUCCUCGACAUGGCGGUGGCCGCCCGGCGAGGCUCUGCGGAGCGAUGCCACCAGGGCCAGGAGCAGCCAUGGGGACAAAGGAGCCCGGAGCAAGAAAAUCCCAGCCCCAACCCUGCCUGCAGCCAGGCUGGGGGGGUGGUGGGGCCCCCCCCGGUGCCUGUAGGGUGCGGGCAAUGCCAGGAGCUCGACGAGGGCCAGGAGCUGGCACUGUGGCUGCGGGAUGAAUUCGGGUGGCUCCUGGCCCAGGCCUCCUGGCUGCCGGCCCCGCUGCGGGAGGGGGCCCAGCAGGCCCAGGACAAUUUGGGCGAGCUGCACCGGGCCUUCGUGCUGGCUGGCUCCCUGAGGGAGCUGGAGGAGGCGGUGACCACCCGGGGCCGCAGGUGGGUGGCCCAGGCCUGGGAGGUGCUGGAGGCGUUGGUGGAAUUCCUCCUCCGGCACCCACGGGAGCCCUGGCAGGGUGAGGGGGCGCCCGCGGCCCCUGCACGGGAAUAAUUCCAGCCUGAAUAUCUCCCCCCCC
RNAcentral lists this long non-coding RNA (1077 nucleotides) under Anas zonorhyncha (Eastern spot-billed duck). RNAcentral's name for it is "lncRNA (ENSAZOG00000010518.1)". Lineage: Eukaryota; Metazoa; Chordata; Aves; Anseriformes; Anatidae. The record is from RNAcentral.